Molecule: long non-coding RNA, 202 nt
Filed under: Mytilus galloprovincialis (Mediterranean mussel)
Lineage: Eukaryota; Metazoa; Mollusca; Bivalvia; Mytilida; Mytilidae
Source: RNAcentral
CACUUGACAAGGUACAGUAUAUUUUGCAAUGAAGGGGAAAAUAUUUCAUCAAACUUUCGGUUUGGUGAACAGGAAGACCUGAUAAAAAAGAAUGAAGGAAAUUGAUAAUAGUGUCAAACUUGGAAAAGAAUUAUAUCUGUUAAAGGUUUUGUAGGCCAAGUAAUUGCCUCUGGUGAAAUUUUGCAAACACCCCACGGCGCCA